Long non-coding RNA from Drosophila yakuba, 729 nucleotides. RefSeq lists it as uncharacterized. The transcript has 2 exons. The record is from RefSeq and is a predicted model, not a curated record. Lineage: Eukaryota; Metazoa; Arthropoda; Insecta; Diptera; Drosophilidae.
UGGGAGAAGGAAGUUUACCGGUUUUCGGGUGGCGAAUGUGCUUAAUAAAUACAAAACAAAUAAACAAUGAGCCUCUGAGCGGCCAUCAUAUUACGAAAUGCAACGUUUGCUCACAUUAUCGAAGCAAAGGACAUCGUGCUGCAUCUCAACCGCAACAAAAAGGUUUGGGGUCCGACACCUUUUGGACGUUAAAUGCAGAAUAAGGAUCUCCCCGGGAAGGAAAUAAUACUGUUACGGACCUACUUGGUCUUGCGUGAGAUUUUGGGCUUCCCAAGCUAGCUCACUUUCCAGGGCCGUGGUUCCCCUAACCCUGCCCGCUCACGUCAUAACAAAAACAUAGAAUUCAAAAACUUGAAGUCUACGUUGUACAACACUUUAAUCUCCACGUUUACAUUCAAAUUCAAAUACGAAUUAAACGGCAACAUCUCUGAGUUUGUCGACAUCACAUUAUCUUAUCUGACUCCUGUUAUUGGGCACUGCUGAGGUACUGGAGGCCACAUGCUCAUCCCUACCCGACCUUGCAGCCUGCUAGCAUAUUUAUGCGGCUGCCCCAAACAUUCACCUACACACAUUCUACCCACCCAUUCCUAGUGUAUUCCUUUUCCCAUUAAUUCAACUCUACUCCAGUUUCACUUCCUUCCCAAAUACUUAUAAUUUUAUUUGUUUACAAUUUUCAUAUUCAUAUCCCUGACUUGGUCCGAAUAUCCACACUGGAUUUCUUUCAACAUA